Molecule: long non-coding RNA, 936 nt
Filed under: Triticum aestivum (bread wheat)
Lineage: Eukaryota; Viridiplantae; Streptophyta; Magnoliopsida; Poales; Poaceae
Description: long non-coding RNA (TAES_LNC024189)
Source: RNAcentral
CAGCCUGCCGUCCUGCCCCGCAGCCCGAGGCCCAUGAGGUGAGGCAGCCGCCCCUCCUCUCCUGACGAGGGAGCUGGAGAAGAAGCUGCGGGACCAAAGGCUGCUGCAGGAUGAGAUACUGUGCUGCUGCUGUGUUUGGUGGUUGAAGAAGGGGUGUGCUGGGAAGAGGACUUAGUGUUGAGAGUGCUCGAUCUAGAACAGGACAAGCUUGGGCUGCACCGGUGUGUUUGCUGUUGCUGAAUUUUUCCGGGGCAUUGCAGAUGCGGAGGAGUUUUUCUGGGGCGAUCUGCUUGUUCCCGGCCACGCUGGUGUCAACUACCUCGAGCCACUAUGACCACCCCCAACCACGCUCACCCCCCGUAAGUCAUGUGUUUCUCCUACCAGAUCAAAAAAAUCGUCAAUUUUUGGAGUACAGUUGUGUAUCAGAUCCGUUCAUGAUUUAAAUUGUGGUCUCCUAAACAUGUGAUUUGUGAAAUGUUUAGGAACAAAUUGUUUGUUGAUCAGCAAAGGGGGAUUCAAUUAAUUUUCAAUUGUAGAAGAAGGGAGAAGGAGGAUUCAAUUGAUUUUCCUCCUCAUGAUCAAAAGAAAAAAAAUAUCUUUGCCGUGAUGAUAGACGGGGUUCAUGUUAAUACACAGACUACUGGUAAGGGCAUUAAAACUUAUAUCUGCUGUGAAAUGGUCGUAUAUGCUUGAUUAGGAUAUUUUCAAGUGUUGUAGGUGUAAGGCUGUGGGAAAACGUUAUCAUGGUCUAAUUUUCCAGUCAAUAUAUGGCACAUCAGAAUUUCUGGUCCACUAAUGCCCCUCCAUUCAUUUCUAAUAUAGGGAACAAUAAACAAUUCUAGAUGGAAAGCACCUGACUUGUGAAACCUAGCGCCGCCAGUUUCCCUGCCAUGUAUUGCCGUCACCGGAGGGGCCGACCGACGAAGCUUGGCUGGC